AGAGUUUGAUCAUGGCUCAGAUUGAACGCUGGCGGCAGGCCUAACACAUGCAAGUCGAACGGUAACAGGAAACAGCUUGCUGUUUCGCUGACGAGUGGCGGACGGGUGAGUAAUGUCUGGGAAACUGCCUGAUGGAGGGGGAUAACUACUGGAAACGGUAGCUAAUACCGCAUAAUGUCGCAAGACCAAAGAGGGGGACCUUCGGGCCUCUUGCCAUCGGAUGUGCCCAGAUGGGAUUAGCUUGUUGGUGGGGUAACGGCUCACCAAGGCGACGAUCCCUAGCUGGUCUGAGAGGAUGACCAGCCACACUGGAACUGAGACACGGUCCAGACUCCUACGGGAGGCAGCAGUGGGGAAUAUUGCACAAUGGGCGCAAGCCUGAUGCAGCCAUGCCGCGUGUAUGAAGAAGGCCUUCGGGUUGUAAAGUACUUUCAGCGGGGAGGAAGGGAGUAAAGUUAAUACCUUUGCUCAUUGACGUUACCCGCAGAAGAAGCACCGGCUAACUCCGUGCCAGCAGCCGCGGUAAUACGGAGGGUGCAAGCGUUAAUCGGAAUUACUGGGCGUAAAGCGCACGCAGGCGGUUUGUUAAGUCAGAUGUGAAAUCCCCGGGCUCAACCUGGGAACUGCAUCUGAUACUGGCAAGCUUGAGUCUCGUAGAGGGGGGUAGAAUUCCAGGUGUAGCGGUGAAAUGCGUAGAGAUCUGGAGGAAUACCGGUGGCGAAGGCGGCCCCCUGGACGAAGACUGACGCUCAGGUGCGAAAGCGUGGGGAGCAAACAGGAUUAGAUACCCUGGUAGUCCACGCCGUAAACGAUGUCGACUUGGAGGUUGUGCCCUUGAGGCGUGGCUUCCGGAGCUAACGCGUUAAGUCGACCGCCUGGGGAGUACGGCCGCAAGGUUAAAACUCAAAUGAAUUGACGGGGGCCCGCACAAGCGGUGGAGCAUGUGGUUUAAUUCGAUGCAACGCGAAGAACCUUACCUGGUCUUGACAUCCACGGAAGUUUUCAGAGAUGAGAAUGUGCCUUCGGGAACCGUGAGACAGGUGCUGCAUGGCUGUCGUCAGCUCGUGUUGUGAAAUGUUGGGUUAAGUCCCGCAACGAGCGCAACCCUUAUCCUUUGUUGCCAGCGGUCCGGCCGGGAACUCAAAGGAGACUGCCAGUGAUAAACUGGAGGAAGGUGGGGAUGACGUCAAGUCAUCAUGGCCCUUACGACCAGGGCUACACACGUGCUACAAUGGCGCAUACAAAGAGAAGCGACCUCGCGAGAGCAAGCGGACCUCAUAAAGUGCGUCGUAGUCCGGAUUGGAGUCUGCAACUCGACUCCAUGAAGUCGGAAUCGCUAGUAAUCGUGGAUCAGAAUGCCACGGUGAAUACGUUCCCGGGCCUUGUACACACCGCCCGUCACACCAUGGGAGUGGGUUGCAAAAGAAGUAGGUAGCUUAACCUUCGGGAGGGCGCUUACCACUUUGUGAUUCAUGACUGGGGUGAAGUCGUAACAAGGUAACCGUAGGGGAACCUGCGGUUG
This 1522-nucleotide ribosomal RNA is filed under the name Escherichia coli. Its description in RNAcentral is "bacterial SSU rRNA". It matches the Rfam family "Bacterial small subunit ribosomal RNA". RNAcentral also lists the same sequence under 4 other names. The record is from RNAcentral. Lineage: Bacteria; Pseudomonadati; Pseudomonadota; Gammaproteobacteria; Enterobacterales; Enterobacteriaceae.